CCUACGGGAGGCAGCAGUGAGGAAUAUUGGUCAAUGGACGAGAGUCUGAACCAGCCAAGUAGCGUGAAGGAUGACUGACCUAUGGGUUGUAAACUUCUUUUAUAAAGGAAUAAAACGAGGCAAGUGUGCCUUUUUGCAUGUACUUUAUGAAUAAGGAUCGGCUAACUCCGUGCCAGCAGCCGCGGUAAUACGGAGGAUCCGAGCGUUAUCCGGAUGUAUUGGGUUUAAAGGGAGCGUAGAUGGGUUGUUAAGUCAGUUGUGAAAGUUUGCGGCUCAACCGUAAAAUUGCAAUUGAUACUGGCAGUCUUGAGUACAGUUGAGGUGGGCGGAAUUCGAGGUGUAGCGGUGAAAUGCUUAGAUAUCACGAAGAACCCCGAUUGCGAAGGCAGCUUACUAAACAGUGACUGACAUUGAUGCUCGAAAGUGUGGGUAUCAAACAGGAUUAGAUACCCCAGUAGUC
RNAcentral lists this ribosomal RNA (460 nucleotides) under uncultured bacterium. Its description in RNAcentral is "partial 16S ribosomal RNA". It matches the Rfam family "Bacterial small subunit ribosomal RNA", at positions 338 to 795 of the family's 1533-position model. The record is from RNAcentral.